Molecule: ribosomal RNA, 3022 nt
Filed under: Staphylococcus aureus
Lineage: Bacteria; Bacillati; Bacillota; Bacilli; Caryophanales; Staphylococcaceae
Description: 23S ribosomal RNA
Rfam family: Bacterial large subunit ribosomal RNA
Source: RNAcentral
GAUUAAGUUAUUAAGGGCGCACGGUGGAUGCCUUGGCACUAGAAGCCGAUGAAGGACGUUACUAACGACGAUAUGCUUUGGGGAGCUGUAAGUAAGCUUUGAUCCAGAGAUUUCCGAAUGGGGAAACCCAGCAUGAGUUAUGUCAUGUUAUCGAUAUGUGAAUACAUAGCAUAUCAGAAGGCACACCCGGAGAACUGAAACAUCUUAGUACCCGGAGGAAGAGAAAGAAAAUUCGAUUCCCUUAGUAGCGGCGAGCGAAACGGGAAGAGCCCAAACCAACAAGCUUGCUUGUUGGGGUUGUAGGACACUCUAUACGGAGUUACAAAGGACGACAUUAGACGAAUCAUCUGGAAAGAUGAAUCAAAGAAGGUAAUAAUCCUGUAGUCGAAAAUGUUGUCUCUCUUGAGUGGAUCCUGAGUACGACGGAGCACGUGAAAUUCCGUCGGAAUCUGGGAGGACCAUCUCCUAAGGCUAAAUACUCUCUAGUGACCGAUAGUGAACCAGUACCGUGAGGGAAAGGUGAAAAGCACCCCGGAAGGGGAGUGAAAUAGAACCUGAAACCGUGUGCUUACAAGUAGUCAGAGCCCGUUAAUGGGUGAUGGCGUGCCUUUUGUAGAAUGAACCGGCGAGUUACGAUUUGAUGCAAGGUUAAGCAGUAAAUGUGGAGCCGUAGCGAAAGCGAGUCUGAAUAGGGCGUUUAGUAUUUGGUCGUAGACCCGAAACCAGGUGAUCUACCCUUGGUCAGGUUGAAGUUCAGGUAACACUGAAUGGAGGACCGAACCGACUUACGUUGAAAAGUGAGCGGAUGAACUGAGGGUAGCGGAGAAAUUCCAAUCGAACCUGGAGAUAGCUGGUUCUCUCCGAAAUAGCUUUAGGGCUAGCCUCAAGUGAUGAUUAUUGGAGGUAGAGCACUGUUUGGACGAGGGGCCCCUCUCGGGUUACCGAAUUCAGACAAACUCCGAAUGCCAAUUAAUUUAACUUGGGAGUCAGAACAUGGGUGAUAAGGUCCGUGUUCGAAAGGGAAACAGCCCAGACCACCAGCUAAGGUCCCAAAAUAUAUGUUAAGUGGAAAAGGAUGUGGCGUUGCCCAGACAACUAGGAUGUUGGCUUAGAAGCAGCCAUCAUUUAAAGAGUGCGUAAUAGCUCACUAGUCGAGUGACACUGCGCCGAAAAUGUACCGGGGCUAAACAUAUUACCGAAGCUGUGGAUUGUCCUUUGGACAAUGGUAGGAGAGCGUUCUAAGGGCGUUGAAGCAUGAUCGUAAGGACAUGUGGAGCGCUUAGAAGUGAGAAUGCCGGUGUGAGUAGCGAAAGACGGGUGAGAAUCCCGUCCACCGAUUGACUAAGGUUUCCAGAGGAAGGCUCGUCCGCUCUGGGUUAGUCGGGUCCUAAGCUGAGGCCGACAGGCGUAGGCGAUGGAUAACAGGUUGAUAUUCCUGUACCACCUAUAAUCGUUUUAAUCGAUGGGGGGACGCAGUAGGAUAGGCGAAGCGUGCGAUUGGAUUGCACGUCUAAGCAGUAAGGCUGAGUAUUAGGCAAAUCCGGUACUCNNNNNNNNNNNNNNNNNNNNNNNNNNNNNNNNNNNNNNNNNNNNNNNNNNNNNNNNNNNNNNNNNNNNNNNNNNNNNNNNNNNNNNNNNNNNNGUACUCAUUAAGGCUGAGCUGUGAUGGGGAGAAGACAUUGUGUCUUCGAGUCGUUGAUUUCACACUGCCGAGAAAAGCCUCUAGAUAGAAAAUAGGUGCCCGUACCGCAAACCGACACAGGUAGUCAAGAUGAGAAUUCUAAGGUGAGCGAGCGAACUCUCGUUAAGGAACUCGGCAAAAUGACCCCGUAACUUCGGGAGAAGGGGUGCUCUUUAGGGUUAACGCCCAGAAGAGCCGCAGUGAAUAGGCCCAAGCGACUGUUUAUCAAAAACACAGGUCUCUGCUAAACCGUAAGGUGAUGUAUAGGGGCUGACGCCUGCCCGGUGCUGGAAGGUUAAGAGGAGUGGUUAGCUUCUGCGAAGCUACGAAUCGAAGCCCCAGUAAACGGCGGCCGUAACUAUAACGGUCCUAAGGUAGCGAAAUUCCUUGUCGGGUAAGUUCCGACCCGCACGAAAGGCGUAACGAUUUGGGCACUGUCUCAACGAGAGACUCGGUGAAAUCAUAGUACCUGUGAAGAUGCAGGUUACCCGCGACAGGACGGAAAGACCCCGUGGAGCUUUACUGUAGCCUGAUAUUGAAAUUCGGCACAGCUUGUACAGGAUAGGUAGGAGCCUUUGAAACGUGAGCGCUAGCUUACGUGGAGGCGCUGGUGGGAUACUACCCUAGCUGUGUUGGCUUUCUAACCCGCACCACUUAUCGUGGUGGGAGACAGUGUCAGGCGGGCAGUUUGACUGGGGCGGUCGCCUCCUAAAAGGUAACGGAGGCGCUCAAAGGUUCCCUCAGAAUGGUUGGAAAUCAUUCAUAGAGUGUAAAGGCAUAAGGGAGCUUGACUGCGAGACCUACAAGUCGAGCAGGGUCGAAAGACGGACUUAGUGAUCCGGUGGUUCCGCAUGGAAGGGCCAUCGCUCAACGGAUAAAAGCUACCCCGGGGAUAACAGGCUUAUCUCCCCCAAGAGUUCACAUCGACGGGGAGGUUUGGCACCUCGAUGUCGGCUCAUCGCAUCCUGGGGCUGUAGUCGGUCCCAAGGGUUGGGCUGUUCGCCCAUUAAAGCGGUACGCGAGCUGGGUUCAGAACGUCGUGAGACAGUUCGGUCCCUAUCCGUCGUGGGCGUAGGAAAUUUGAGAGGAGCUGUCCUUAGUACGAGAGGACCGGGAUGGACAUACCUCUGGUGUACCAGUUGUCGUGCCAACGGCAUAGCUGGGUAGCUAUGUGUGGACGGGAUAAGUGCUGAAAGCAUCUAAGCAUGAAGCCCCCCUCAAGAUGAGAUUUCCCAACUUCGGUUAUAAGAUCCCUCAAAGAUGAUGAGGUUAAUAGGUUCGAGGUGGAAGCAUGGUGACAUGUGGAGCUGACGAAUACUAAUCGAUCGAAGACUUAAUCAA